GAAGCCCUGUGCUCUGAGCACAGCCUGUGAAGCAACAGGGCCCUGGGGACAACCACACGUGUGUUCGAAGUCCAGCGCUGCAGGGAGUGAAAAGAGCAGCCAGUCACUGAAGAAAGAGUGAAUAACUCUCUCUGCCCGCCUGCUUUAGUGAGGACACGUUUACCAGGUGCCUCAUGAGGGACUCGAGGUAUGUGAUUAUUAAUUAAUGGUUUUGGUUCUUUUCCCCUCAAGUUUUUAUUAGUGAAAAUAGAAGUGCUUCUCCCAGGUUUACCAAGUUAGAAUCAAAACUUCAGCUCUGAAUGCUGGGAGAAAGAAAACCCCAUUCUGUCAUUGCUGAAGGUGUGAUCGCUGUGCAAAGAGCUCUGUAAUCCAGGAACAACUUGUGAAUGUGGGAGAGGAAACGACCACUCAGCCAUCCAUGCUGUACUUUGAUGUGAAAGAUAGUAAGAAGAACUAUCUGCUGAAUAAAAUGAAAUAAAUUGAAAACAAAGUUCUUACAUUGUGUGGAAUGCAGUGAAGCUGCAUAGCCCACCCUUUUCAAGGAGUGGGGAGGAUUAGGAGGUACCGAUUCUACAUCACCCAACCUGUUCUACAUGCUGUGAUUUAAAUCUUCUGGAAAGAGAAUGGGGGAAAAAGUAAAUCUGUAAGAUAUUGUGCGUUAGACUGUCCCUGUUCUGAUAACAGUACCAUGGAUCGGGCCUUUU
Molecule: long non-coding RNA, 704 nt
Filed under: Gallus gallus (chicken)
Lineage: Eukaryota; Metazoa; Chordata; Aves; Galliformes; Phasianidae
Description: long non-coding RNA NONGGAT002124
Source: RNAcentral